Molecule: ribosomal RNA, 253 nt
Filed under: uncultured bacterium
Lineage: Bacteria
Description: partial 16S ribosomal RNA
Rfam family: Bacterial small subunit ribosomal RNA
Source: RNAcentral
CACGUAGGGUGCGAGCGUUGUUCGGAAUUAUUGGGCGUAAAGCGCGUGUAGGCGGCUUUGCAAGUCGGGUGUGAAAGCCCUCAGCUCAACUGAGGAAGUGCGCCCGAAACUGCAGAGCUUGAGUGCCGGAGAGGGUGGCGGAAUUCCCCAAGUAGAGGUGAAAUUCGUAGAUAUGGGGAGGAACACCGGUGGCGAAGGCGGAUCUCUGGGCCUGUCCUGACGCUGAGGCGCGAAAGCUAGGGGAGCGAACAGG